GUCGCAAGACCAUUAGUGGCGGACGGGUGCGUAACGCGUGGGAACCUGCCUUGAAGUUCGGAAUAACUGCGGGAAACUGCAGCUAAUACCGGAUGUGGCCUGAGGGCCAAAGGGGAAACUCGCUUCAAGAGGGGCCCGCGUCCGAUUAGCUAGUUGGCGGGGUAACGGCCCACCAAGGCGAUGAUCGGUAGCUGGUCUGAGAGGACGACCAGCCACACUGGAACUGAGAUACGGUCCAGACUCCUACGGGAGGCAGCAGUGGGGAAUAUUGGACAAUGGGGGCAACCCUGAUCCAGCAAUGCCGCGUGAGUGAUGAAGGCCUUCGGGUUGUAAAGCUCUUUUGGCGGGGACGAUGAUGACGGUACCCGCAGAAUAAGCCCCGGCUAACUUCGUGCCAGCAGCCGCGGUAAUACGAAGGGGGCUAGCGUUGUUCGGAAUUACUGGGCGUAAAGGGCGCGUAGGCGGCCUUGUUAGUCGAGUGUGAAAGCCCUGGGCUUAACCCGGGAAGCGCGCUUGAUACUGCAGGGCUAGAGUGUGGGAGAGGUUGGUGGAAUUCCCAGUGUAGAGGUGAAAUUCGUAGAUAUUGGGAAGAACACCGGUGGCGAAGGCGACCAACUGGACCACAACUGACGCUGAGGCGCGAAAGCGUGGGGAGCAAACAGGAUUAGAUACCCUGGUAGUCCACGCCGUAAACGAUGUGUGCUAGACGCUGGAGGACCUAGUCUUUCGGUGUCGCAGCUAACGCUUUAAGCACACCGCCNGGGGAGUACGGCCGCAAGGU
Molecule: ribosomal RNA, 781 nt
Filed under: uncultured Alphaproteobacteria bacterium
Lineage: Bacteria; Pseudomonadati; Pseudomonadota; Alphaproteobacteria
Description: bacterial SSU rRNA
Rfam family: Bacterial small subunit ribosomal RNA
Source: RNAcentral